CCUUACAUAAAUUGCGUUUACUUCAGUUUCUGUUCUCGCACCUCACUUCACUCACCUUUGGAUUAUAGAGAAGCAAAGCCGAGCAAAGCAGCGAAGACAGCAGAAUGGAGCAAACCUUUAUCAUGAUAAAGCCUGAUGGUGUCCAGAGGGGCCUGAUCGGUGAGAUUAUCAGCAGAUUUGAGAAGAAGGGGUUCUCACUGAAAGGUUUGAAGCUAAUUUCUGUAGACCGUCCUUUUGCUGAGAAGCACUAUGAGGACUUGUCUGCAAAGCCCUUCUUUAAUGGGUUGGUGGAUUACAUUAUCUCUGGUCCAGUUGUUGCGAUGGUUUGGGAGGGUAAGAAUGUUGUGACAACUGGCCGGAAGAUAAUUGGAGCCACAAACCCGGCACAAUCUGAGCCUGGAACUAUCCGUGGGGACUAUGCCAUUGAUAUUGGCAGGAAUGUCAUCCAUGGAAGUGAUUCUGUUGAAAGCGCAAGGAAGGAAAUUGCAUUGUGGUUUCCAGAGGGCCCUGUUGCUUGGCAAAGCAGCGUCCACAACUGGAUCUACGAGUGAAGUAUGUUUGCUGCUGCUGCUGCUUCUGCUGCAAUGACAUCGCACAUUGCUCUUCUGAUCCACUGUUGCCCACUUGUCAUUUUCUUGUCUCUUUCAACAGUCGAACAUAUUUACAUGCAGUUCUCAAAUUAAUUUUGGUCAGUGUGUUGUAUGCUUAUUGAAGGCCCAUUUGGGAUUCAAAGUGAUGAAGGUUUUUCAAGGGAUGGAACAAUAAUGUAGAACCGUGUAUCUUGAAGGGAAUGUUGAUGAAGACGACGAUGACCAACAGAAGCAGCGGCUAUUAUAGCAAUUGUCAUGGUGAUGGUGAUAAGAAGUCGAUAAUUGCGGUAAGGGUGUUAAUAGUGGAGCACCCAGGUUUUUGAAGUUUUAAGUCAAUUUUAUUGGAGGAUAUUUUCACACCAUUAUAAGGCCAUGGCUAAGAGAGACACAAAACACAAUCAAGCCAUAUUAACAAUCAAAAUAUAUAUACACAGCUAACUUUCGUAUGGCUUGUUUCGAAAACAAGCCCAAUCAGUAGGCCUGUCAACUCCUAUAAACAUGUUAUCAAAAGUAACAGAGGUAGUACGUGAUGAAAUCUCUCGUCAUUUUUGUUU
Prosopis cineraria is the source of this 1144-nucleotide RNA transcript. It is a transcript of the gene named nucleoside diphosphate kinase 1, with no coding region annotated. Lineage: Eukaryota; Viridiplantae; Streptophyta; Magnoliopsida; Fabales; Fabaceae. The record is from RefSeq and is a predicted model, not a curated record. The transcript has 5 exons.